This is a small nuclear RNA of 159 nucleotides. It matches the Rfam family "U1 spliceosomal RNA". Rfam says of the family: U1 is a small nuclear RNA (snRNA) component of the spliceosome (involved in pre-mRNA splicing). Its 5' end forms complementary base pairs with the 5' splice junction, thus defining the 5' donor site of an intron. There are significant differences in sequence and secondary structure between metazoan and yeast U1 snRNAs, the latter being much longer (568 nucleotides as compared to 164 nucleotides in human). The record is from Rfam.
AAACUUACCUGGCUAGUGUUGGGCGGAGAUCCAGCAGCUCGCUCUCAUAGGGUCGAGCAGUUCACUGCACUCUGAGGCCUGUAACGCCUUAGGAGUCUCCGAUGGAGUCAUCCAUAGCAGAAUUUGUUGAGAGGCAACUAGCUUGUGAGCUGCUGCCAA